AAUAAUGCAAGUCGAGCGAACAGAUAAGGAGCUUGCUCCUUUGACGUUAGCGGCGGACGGGUGAGUAACACGUGGAUAACCUACCUAUAAGACUGGGAUAACUUCGGGAAACCGGAGCUAAUACCGGAUAACAUAUUGAACCGCAUGGUUCAAUAGUGAGAGGCGGCUUUGCUGUCACUUAUAGAUGGAUCCGCGCCGUAUUAGCUAGUUGGUAAGGUAACGGCUUACCAAGGCAACGAUACGUAGCCGACCUGAGAGGGUGAUCGGCCACACUGGAACUGAGACACGGUCCAGACUCCUACGGGAGGCAGCAGUAGGGAAUCUUCCGCAAUGGGCGAAAGCCUGACGGAGCAACGCCGCGUGAGUGAUGAAGGUCUUCGGAUCGUAAAACUCUGUUAUCAGGGAAGAACAAAUGUGUAAGUAACUGUGCACAUCUUGACGGUACCUGAUCAGAAAGCCACGGCUAACUACGUGCCAGCAGCCGCGGUAAUACGUAGGUGGCAAGCGUUAUCCGGAAUUAUUGGGCGUAAAGCGCGCGUAGGCGGUUUUUUAAGUCUGAUGUGAAAGCCCAC
RNAcentral lists this ribosomal RNA (572 nucleotides) under uncultured bacterium. Its description in RNAcentral is "bacterial SSU rRNA". It matches the Rfam family "Bacterial small subunit ribosomal RNA", at positions 50 to 605 of the family's 1533-position model. The record is from RNAcentral.